This 164-nucleotide ribosomal RNA is filed under the name Campeiostachys nutans. RNAcentral describes it as "Elymus nutans 5.8S ribosomal RNA". It matches the Rfam family "5.8S ribosomal RNA". Rfam says of the family: 5.8S ribosomal RNA (5.8S rRNA) is a component of the large subunit of the eukaryotic ribosome. It is transcribed by RNA polymerase I as part of the 45S precursor that also contains 18S and 28S rRNA. Lineage: Eukaryota; Viridiplantae; Streptophyta; Magnoliopsida; Poales; Poaceae. The record is from RNAcentral.
CACACGACUCUCGGCAACGGAUAUCUCGGCUCUCGCAUCGAUGAAGAACGUAGAGAAAUGCGAUACCUGGUGUGAAUUGCAGAAUCCCGCGAACCAUCGAGUCUUUGAACGCAAGUUGCUCCCGAGGCCACUCGGCCGAGGGCACGCCUGCCUGGGCGUCACGC